Molecule: long non-coding RNA, 245 nt
Filed under: Brassica napus (rape)
Lineage: Eukaryota; Viridiplantae; Streptophyta; Magnoliopsida; Brassicales; Brassicaceae
Description: long non-coding RNA (BNAP_LNC014579)
Source: RNAcentral
UGAAUUAAAAAGCCCAUCAGAAGAGGAAUAAAUGAAACGGUGAGUUUCAGUCGUCUGGGACAGGUGUCGCGCGUACAGCAUUUGAAUUUGUGACCUGUCAGCUGAUGUGGAUAGCCUGGGAGGGAUACAAACCCUUCUUUAUAUAUAAAGAUACCUGAAUUGUGAUUCCAGUCUGUGGACUAAUCAAUGGUCUUAUUACUUUUAAAAGUAGAUCACCACAAAGCCUCUCCCAUGAUGAGACAUAA